This 445-nucleotide ribosomal RNA is filed under the name uncultured bacterium. RNAcentral's name for it is "partial 16S ribosomal RNA". It matches the Rfam family "Bacterial small subunit ribosomal RNA", at positions 354 to 796 of the family's 1533-position model. The record is from RNAcentral.
GUAAGGAAUAUUGGACAAUGGACGCAAGUCUGAUCCAGCCAUGCCGCGUGAAGGAUUAAGGUCCUCUGGAUUGUAAACUUCUUUUAUAAGGGACGAAAAAAGGCUUUUCUAAGUCGUCUGACGGUACCUUAUGAAUAAGCACCGGCUAACUCCGUGCCAGCAGCCGCGGUAAUACGGAGGGUGCAAGCGUUAUCCGGAUUCACUGGGUUUAAAGGGUGCGUAGGCGGGCAGGUAAGUCAGUGGUGAAAUCCUAGAGCUUAACUCUAGAACUGCCAUUGAUACUAUCUGUCUUGAAUAUUGUGGAGGUAAGCGGAAUAUGUCAUGUAGCGGUGAAAUGCGUAGAUAUGACAUAGAACACCUAUUGCGAAGGCAGCUUACUACGCAUAUAUUGACGCUGAGGCACGAAAGCGUGGGGAUCAAACAGGAUUAGAUACCCGUGUAGUCC